Molecule: long non-coding RNA, 1395 nt
Organism: Bombus terrestris (buff-tailed bumblebee)
Lineage: Eukaryota; Metazoa; Arthropoda; Insecta; Hymenoptera; Apidae
Exons: 2
Source: RefSeq, a predicted model, not a curated record
AAAUCACGUUGUGGGCUUUCGUGGGCAAACGUAACUGCCGUACCGACUUAGAAACUCGACAUUGAUUUAAGCAUCCUUUACUCAUAAACGAUGACCAUUUGAUAAAGUGUUUACUAAAAAAGAAUUAGUAGAGCCAAACAGCACACAUAGCAAAUGCGUGUGUCUAAUAAAGAUGAUAGAUAAUUGCUUAGGUGCUUCAGUAAUACGUAUGAAUAUGUGUGUAUUGAAUUACAGAUAUAUACAUAUAAAGAAAUAGAUGAGUGAACAAAACUGCGGCGACGACAUCUCGUAGGCGUAUCAGUAAUGAAAGUAAAAGGUAAAAAUCGUGGAUCACAAAUUAGUUAUGACAUUAAAUCUUGUCUACAUAAAAUCAUACAAAACAAAUAAAUCACGUCAGAAAUAUUAUUCGCAACCUAUCAACUACUGAAAUUACUAUAAAUAUUGAAUUAAAUAUUAAAUUAAUAAACUACAUUGAAAUAAUAUUUGAAUUUUUUUAUAACAAAAACAUCUUUACAAGGAAAGUAACUUUAAUGUUAAAUGUAAAAACUAUUAUGUAUGGAAAAUAUAUUAAAAUUACUGUACCAUUCCAUUAAUCCAUUACCUUUUCAGGGGAAAGAUUUUCUUUUCUUCUCCAAAAAAAUAUAAUAAGCUAAGUUAAGUUUAAUUAUUGUGCGAUUUUGUUAUUCUCAUAUUUGUCUAUCUUGGAUAGAAUAGCAUAAACUUUUCUGUAGAACCGCACAGUGAAAUAAGCUUUUGUAGUGUGGAACCACAGCGAGUAUACCUCGUUUGUGGUGGAACUAAACAGGUUCUUGUAUAUGCUAGCGUGAAACCAAACAAUGCAAAUCACUAACUUUAUCGGUUCUUGUAUAUACUAGCGUGGAACGCCUUCAGCACUUGGCCGCUUGGUGCAGCACUUGUACGGUGAAAUAACUAAAAUAAUGGGCGUGAGCUAUGAUCGUAUACACAAGUCUGGACUCCAAUGGAGGAGUGAGCGACGCUACCGUUCGACCAAUCCGUUUGACGCUAGGUGGUAGACAGUAGUUGGUACAUUGUUGACAUCCGACGAUGGAGAACCUUGUCCUUUGAAACCCUAUCAGUUGUGAUAGUUUCGGGUAUUUCGGAUCGUGAAACCUACCCUUUGAAGAAUUUUUCAGCGUCCGCCCUCACAAAGUCGCCAUUCACCAUUCUUUUUAGAUAUCAUGUGAAAAGGGCUCGCCCAUUGAUUUAAGGACAGUUGGCAAAUCUCCUUCCUGGUCGUAUCCUUGAAUCCUUCUUUCCCGUGUUUUUUUGCGAUUGGUUAUCCUUUAGUGCAAAUGAAAUACUGAUGCCACCUGUUCUGAACACGUGUCUUUGUGAUUUAGUAAUAUCAAUAAAUUUGUGUAACAGUUUGCUGUA